Molecule: long non-coding RNA, 517 nt
Filed under: Diabrotica virgifera virgifera (western corn rootworm)
Lineage: Eukaryota; Metazoa; Arthropoda; Insecta; Coleoptera; Chrysomelidae
Description: uncharacterized LOC126886581
Source: RNAcentral
UGUUCCAUGUUCGUUAUUUCAAAUUUCGGUCCAAGGUUCGUUGUCAUGUCGUUUUAAUGACAGUGACAACCCCCAUAUUUCGUUCUCAAAAUGGUGGUGGUAAUAUUAUAAAAGGCAAUUACAGAGCCCAUAAGGCCUUAUCUAUUUCCAGACUUUCAUUCUCUUAGGUUUUCGGGAUACGGCCACCGUUCUCCCUCCGGGAGUUUCAACAAUCCUCAAAUCGCCGGCGAUAGAAUAACGAGGACAUGUCAUCCAUGUUGCACCCACAUCAUCAAGACUGCAACGACCAACAUCCGUAGGCCUGGUGGAAUACAACACCUACAACCCCAGAGCCCGUUGCAGAACCAGCAGCAGUACCAUUCAACAUCAAGAAGUUAUCAUCAGAUACCAAAAGCCAUAAGUAUAAUCAGGAACUGUUAGUUUUUGGCAAGAAUUUGAAUAUAUUUGUUAAUGCAAUUUACUAAGUCAUAUUUUUAUUAUAUCUUUAUUGAACAAUAAACAUGAUUAGUUAAAAUAA